Molecule: ribosomal RNA, 545 nt
Filed under: Escherichia coli
Lineage: Bacteria; Pseudomonadati; Pseudomonadota; Gammaproteobacteria; Enterobacterales; Enterobacteriaceae
Description: partial 23S ribosomal RNA
Rfam family: Bacterial large subunit ribosomal RNA
Source: RNAcentral
GAAUGCUGACAUAAGUAACGAUAAAGCGGGUGAAAAGCCCGCUCGCCGGAAGACCAAGGGUUCCUGUCCAACGUUAAUCGGGGCAGGGUGAGUCGACCCCUAAGGCGAGGCCGAAAGGCGUAGUCGAUGGGAAACAGGUUAAUAUUCCUGUACUUGGUGUUACUGCGAAGGGGGGACGGAGAAGGCUAUGUUGGCCGGGCGACGGUUGUCCCGGUUUAAGCGUGUAGGCUGGUUUUCCAGGCAAAUCCGGAAAAUCAAGGCUGAGGCGUGAUGACGAGGCACUACGGUGCUGAAGCGACAAAUGCCCUGCUUCCAGGAAAAGCCUCUAAGCAUCAGGUAACAUCAAAUCGUACCCCAAACCGACACAGGUGGUCAGGUAGAGAAUACCAAGGCGCUUGAGAGAACUCGGGUGAAGGAACUAGGCAAAAUGGUGCCGUAACUUCGGGAGAAGGCACGCUGAUAUGUAGGUGAAGCGACUUGCUCGUGGAGCUGAAAUCAGUCGAAGAUACCAGCUGGCUGCAACUGUUUAUUAAAAACACAGCACU